GAUGAACGCUGGCGGCGUGCUUAACACAUGCAAGUCGAACGAUGAUGCCCAGCUUGCUGGGUGGAUUAGUGGCGAACGGGUGAGUAACACGUGAGUAACCUGCCCUUGACUCUGGGAUAAGCCUGGGAAACUGGGUCUAAUACCGGAUACGACCAUCUGGCGCAUGUCAUGGUGGUGGGAAGCUUUUGUGGUUUUGGAUGGACUCGCGGCCUAUCAGCUUGUUGGUGGGGUAAUGGCCUACCAAGGCGACGACGGGUAGCCGGCCUGAGAGGGUGACCGGCCACACUGGGACUGAGACACGGCCCAGACUCCUACGGGAGGCAGCAGUGGGGAAGAUUGCACAAUGGGCGCAAGCCUGAUGCAGCGACGCCGCGUGAGGGAUGACGGCCUUCGGGUUGUAAACCUCUUUCAGUAGGGAAGAAGCGAAAGUGACGGUACCUGCAGAAGAAGCGCCGGCUAACUACGUG
RNAcentral lists this ribosomal RNA (467 nucleotides) under uncultured bacterium. Its description in RNAcentral is "partial 16S ribosomal RNA". It matches the Rfam family "Bacterial small subunit ribosomal RNA", at positions 28 to 507 of the family's 1533-position model. The record is from RNAcentral.